UGAUGCAGCCAUGCCGCGUGUGUGAAGAAGGCCUUCGGGUUGUAAAGCACUUUCAGUUGUGAGGAAAGGUUAGUAGUUAAUACCUGCUAGCUGUGACGUUAGCAACAGAAGAAGCACCGGCUAACUCCGUGCCAGCAGCCGCGGUAAUACGGAGGGUGCGAGCGUUAAUCGGAAUUACUGGGCGUAAAGCGCACGCAGGCGGUUUGUUAAGCUAGAUGUGAAAGCCCCGAGCUCAACUUGGGAUGGUCAUUUAGAACUGGCAGACUAGAGUCUUGGAGAGGGGAGUGGAAUUUCUAGUGUAGCGGUGAAAUGCGUAGAUAUUAGAAGGAACAUCAGUGGCGAAGGCGACUCCCUGGCCAAAGACUGACGCUCAUGUGCGAAAGUGUGGGUAGCGAACAGGAUUAGAUACCCUGGUAGUCCACACCGUAAACGCUGUCUACUAGCUGUUUGUGAGUUUAANUCNNGUGNGUAGCGAAGCUAACGCGCUAAGUAGACCGCCUGG
RNAcentral lists this ribosomal RNA (502 nucleotides) under uncultured Alteromonas sp. Its description in RNAcentral is "bacterial SSU rRNA". It matches the Rfam family "Bacterial small subunit ribosomal RNA", at positions 384 to 876 of the family's 1533-position model. Lineage: Bacteria; Pseudomonadati; Pseudomonadota; Gammaproteobacteria; Alteromonadales; Alteromonadaceae. The record is from RNAcentral.